AGACAUUAGCCGUUACACGUAUUCGGGAGAUCCGCGACCUACCACCGAAAGCCCCUUUGCCUAGGCGUAAACGUGUGAAUCUGAGGUACUGUUACCGAUAAACAGUAGAGACUUAUAAAGGCUUGGAAAGCCUAUCCCAAAGGACGAGAGCUAUCAGUACGCUAGAACCUAACAGCCGUUUUGACGGGCCUCCCGAGACAGGUCCAAAGAUGUUACUCAGUCUAACAUGCGACCUCAGACCGGCCACAGCUGUCACUCACGACAGCCUGACAAGUUACCCAAGCAGGCCACAGGGCGACACGGCAACCCUUCGCAUCAACACGCCCCCUCGUGUCGCACUAGGGGCCUUACUACAAAUUGUUAGCACCGACGAGCUAGCUCGGCCACCAAGUCCGCGGUCCAGGCCGACUGCUCACCACUCAACAAACACAAACGCAGCUUGCCAGCCUUCAGCCUGAUGGCUAUGCGGUCUGGUGCUGCUGUUCAAACACAAACAGGGAAAACAGGGCCGUACAGCACCAUACGCACUGCCUACGGCGCCCCUUCGGGCAUUGACCUGCCCAUUCGGGCGCCUGCUCACGCACCCUCCGNANNNNNNNNNNNNNNNNNNNNNNNNNNNNNNNNNNNNNNNNNNNNNNNNNNAUUGGGGGGGCGCCGAGCUGGCUACCCUCCCCCCCUGUGGUUUCCGGAGGCUUGAUCGCCCUGCGUUGCCGCAGGGUCUUCCCGUUUGAGUACUUUUCAAUUUAGACCCAGUGCUGUGGAAGGGCGCGGACUUGUGCGGUGUUACCCCCUCGACGGGGGCUAUCUCCCCUGGACUAGCCCAGGGAGGGAGAGGCGGAGGAGGGUAGUAGUCUCAGGAGGCUGUUUGGCGUCUUGUGGUGUGAGCUCUUUGCGCUCUUUUUUGCGUGAGGAUUUUUGAGCUUGGUGACCUCCCCAGCCCGGGAAGACUCGUCGGGCUCCCGGUCGCCCAAGUCCUGGUAGCGAGCUCUCUGAGAUGCUCGGUUCGUUCGGUCGGCAGGAAGAGCCCCCCAGUUGCGACUUCGUUUAUGUUAGGAGACCAACGGGCAUAGAUCCCGUCUAGUUGGAGCGCCAAACAAGCGCUGUUGCGUGCCGGCCGUCGUUUCCCGUGCGGCCUGACCCGGGGGCGGAGUGCAUGAGACUAACCAGCCGUAUGCACCCGCCCCCCGCGCUGUGCUUCGGCCCUGGGCCCCCGGCUUUUCAGCCCACAGUGUAAUCAACGUCAUACAUACAUACAUACAUACAUACAUACAUACAUACAUACAUACAUACAUACAUACAUACAUGCGAGCGAGGCUACAUCCUGUCUCAUUCAUUAUUGGACAUCAGGCUUACGUUGCUCAUUGAGGUCUUCAGAACUGCUCCAGGGUCCAUAUGUUGGUGCGGACACACCUGGCAGCUGCUGAGGCGCUACUGAGGAGCUUCCCACACGGGUCGCUGUCAAUACUACUACUACUACCAAACAAAAGCAUGCCAGCGCCAGGGCAUUGCGCAACAUACGCCGGUUAAGCAGGCGGGGCAGGUUUCCGACUACGACGGUUUUAGUCCUCUGUCGGCUUCCAUCAUGCGUUAAUAAGGACAUGCGAUGCCAUCUGUUGCACAAGGCCUUGGGCAGCGUGGUCUGCCAGAAAUGCGCUGCCGCAGCUCGCCGAGUCCUGAGGAACCAACAAAGCGACCCCGGUUAUUUCCAAGAUAACAUAUGUGAAUAAAUGCACUAUUUUCAGAUGACGUUUUGCGGCAAGGUUACGUAAUAUCAGUUUGAGUGCACCGAUUGCUGUUCGACGCUCUUCGAUGUUCACUCGACGGAUCGCUCCACCGGCGGUCGAUUGCCUCGCGGUGGUAGCUACACAUUAAUAUCGGAGGCGCGGGUAGUAUUGCGAGUGCGUGUAAUACCGCUUGCACGAGCAGUGUAAUUCGACUUCUGUAAGCUCGUGUCUGGCGACACUUACCGAUAGCAUCAAUCCUCACUCACGCAACAGCAAGCAAGUGGCCAACAUGCUUAGCCGUAAAGUUGUGUUAAUAUCUGAGAGAUAUUGGUGAAACAAUAUUUCAACUAUAUAGAUAUGCGGGCCGCGACCUGGCGUUUUUUAAGACUCGCGUUUUUGAAAAAAUAAUGGAACGGAAUGCAAGUGCAAUAUAUUUUAAAAUCAUUAGAUUGAGGUUAUCUGAAAUAACUGGCUCCUCUAAAAUGUUUUGACACUGGCUGUUCAUCUCCCGCUGCAAACGUCGCUUCACAGGGGGGAAAGUUAAUAUUAUCUAUCGAAAUAGAAGACGUCCACGUUAUCUAAUUUGUGUCACAUUGCCGAUUAUCACUCGUCCCCAUUUUUGGUGUUGAUACUACAGGCCAUGAUGGCUGCCGCCGGUACCGGUACGCUCAGCGUGGUGCGUACAGGGUGGGCGGGUAGAUGAGGGUAGAUGUAGCAAGUGCUGGAAUGGAGCUGCGGUUGGAGAGCUUAUUACCAUCUAUAACCUAACCUAACCGAGCAUAUGCAUCCAAACCACAUAUGAUCAGCAAGUAGCGGACUCGCAAGAAAACGCACAUAUGCUCCGGGGGUGGAGGAAUGUACACUUCUUGCUCAACAGUAAAAACAAACGUUAAGUCUAUUAGGAGCGGCAAUGCUAAGAAGUGGUAUAUGUCCCGGCGGGAAACCCACCUUUAAUGAAUAAACCGGCAAAUAAAGGAGUACAACGUACGGUGAUACCUGGCUUAUCCUUUAGGCGCAGUCAUAGACGAAAUUGCAAGCAUUGAGCACACAAGCGCAACUUGCAGCUUAGAUGCGGAAGGAACGGGCCGAGUAAGCACGGUACAUAUGUAAGAACGGUACAUAGGCAGCCGUACGGCUUGCCAACUUUUGAAUAGGCUCCGCACGCCGCCUUGUGAGUUUGUUAAUGAUAACCGCAAGCCUGGCGUAAAAUGUGCCGGUACAAGGGGAUGCCGAAACACAGGGCCGGUUAUGUUCCUGCAAAAUCGUACGCGUCCCAGAUGCGUUUCCGUCCGUUUGGGAGCUUGGCUGUUUAAAUAUAAUAGGCCGGCUGGUCGGCAAAGGGAUGAGCGCACAUGUAGGGUCUAUGGCGAUGGAGUAGAGGACGAGUUUCACGUGCUUAUGGGAUGAACAGCGCACGAUGAUGUCCGCCAGGGUUUCGCUUCGUUAGUUGUUAAUGUUUGCGACCGCUUACCCCGGCCUAUGCUCCUUAUUAUGAGUGUUGAUAACCAGCGCGGGUUGGCAGUGUUGGUGAGACGCUAUCUCACAGGGACCUAGCAGACACGACUAAGGAGACAUUAGCCGUUACACGUAUUCGGGAGAUCCGCGACCUACCACCGAAAGCCCCUUUGCCUAGGCGUAAACGUGUGAAUCUGAGGUACUGUUACCGAUAAACAGUAGAGACUUAUAAAGGCUUGGAAAGCCUAUCCCAAAGGACGAGAGCUAUCAGUACGCUAGAACCUAACAGCCGUUUUGACGGGCCUCCCGAGACAGGUCCAAAGAUGUUACUCAGUCUAACAUGCGACCUCAGACCGGCCACAGCUGUCACUCACGACAGCCUGACAAGUUACCCAAGCAGGCCACAGGGCGACACGGCAACCCUUCGCAUCAACACGCCCCCUCGUGUCGCACUAGGGGCCUUACUACAAAUUGCUAGCACCGACGAGCUGGCUCGGCCACCAAGUCCGCGGUCCAGGCCGACUGCUCACCACUCAACAAACACAAACGCAGCUUGCCAGCCUUCAGCCUGAUGGCUAUGCGGUCUGGUGCUGCUGUUCAAACACAAACAGGGAAAACAGUGCCGUACAGCACCAUACGCACUGCCUACGGCGCCCCUUCGGGCAUUGACCUGCCCAUUCGGGCGCCUGCUCACGCACCCUCAGCACCCCCCUAAAGCCUAGCUCAAAACAAUUCCUCAAAGCCCUCAGCACUCCUCCUCUGGCGAUCUAAGUGACGCCCAGCGCUGUGCGGCAGCGCACGAACUUGACCUCGCCCAGUGCCUUGGUUAGGAUGUCAGCCACCAUGUCCUCGGUGGUGCAAUAGCUGAGCUUCACCUCACCACGCGCGACCCUCUCGCACACGAUGUGAUGGUGCACGUCGAUGUGCUUGGAGCGCACCGACGUGAUGGGGUUGUUGCCGAGGCUGAGCGCGCCUUGCGAAUCCAGCUGGACGUUGACAGCACCCGGGGAAAGGUCCAGAUCGCUCGCCAGCUUGCGCAGCCACAACGCCUCACGCACGGCUGCUGCUGCGGCCUGGUAUUCGGCUUCCACGGACGAGGCAGCCACGGUGCGCUGCAACUGACUGCUCCAGCUGACCGCCGCGCUGCCGAGCAGAAAAGCGUAGCCCGUGGUGGACCUGCGGGUGGCUGGGUCGCCGGCCCAGUCUGCAUCGCUGUACCCACAGAAAUUGCUGGCGUCGCCACAGUAACGUAGACCAAGCGCCCGAGUGCCAGAGACGUAACGCAGCACACCCAGAGCGAGCCCCAUGUGCGCUUUGGUGGGGGCAGACAUGUGCCGCGCCAGCAUGCUCAGAGUGUGUGCGAUGUCUGGGCGUGUGCGAUGUCUGGGCGUGUGCUGGUAGCAAGGUAGUUUAGUUCUCCCACCAGCGCGCGGUAGCCACUGCUGUCCGUCAAUAUCGGCUGGGUGUCACUGGCUGGCAGAACCCGCGUACCCUGGGGUAGCGGGGUGGCACGUGGCUUGGCGUUCUCCAGGCUGUGGCGCUGAAGCAGCUGCUCCACGUAACGCUGCUGCGUGAGCAUGAUGCUGCGGUUGCGGCGGUCCUGGACGAUCUCCAUGCCGAGGUAGUAGCGCGCCUCUCCAAGGUCUCGUACAGCGAAGCAACCAGCUAUGGCCGCCUUGGCGGCCGCAACCAACUGCGGGUUGUCCGCCGCCACCAGCAUGUCGUCAACGUGCACGAGCACAUCGAUUGAGCCAUCGGACCCCCGCUUGACGAAUAGCGCGGGGUCGGACGCAGACGGUUCAUAGCCUAGCUUGCCCAGCUCCGCCGCCAGCUUCUCGUACCAGCAACGUGGGGCUUGCUUGAGGCCGUAGACAGACUUUAACAGCCGGCACGCCUGUGACGGGUCGCCGUUGCUGUAACCUGGGGGCUGUCGCAUCCACAGCUCCUCAGCCAGGUCACCGUUCAAGAAGGCCGUCUUGACGUCCAUCUGAUGGACCGUCAUACCUCUGGCUGCUGCCACAGCUAGAAGUGCCCGCAGGGAGGCUGCACGCGUAGUGGGCACAAACAGCUCNNNNNNNNNNNNNNNNNNNNNNNNNNNNNNNNNNNNNNNNNNNNNNNNNNCGAGCUUAACCUGCUGGCUGGUUGGGACGCGGACGUAUGCCAGGCAGCCGAAUGUGUGCAGGUGACUGACGUCGGGGGUGACGACAUGAUAAGUUGCCCACGGCGUAGCCUCCCGGCCCUGAGAGGGGGAAACAUUGCGCAGGAGGUUGGCGUAUAGCACAGCUUCCGACCAAAAGCUGUCCGGGAGCGCGGCAUCGUACAGCAUAGCCUGCACACGGUCGAGGAGCGUGCGAUUGAGCCUGCGAUUGAGCCGCUCCGCUGCACCGUUCUGCUCCGGAGUGUACGGCGCCGAGUGGGUAUGCGCAGUGCCGCGCUGGUGUAGCCACUGUGCCAGCUGCUCGGCGACAAACUCGCCACCGUUAUCACUAUGAAGGGUGCGGACCCGUGCACCGUUCGGGUUGCGAGCCUCCAGCUGUGUCACCAUGUCCUGCAGCGCUUCGCCCACUUGGUUCUUGCUAACCAGUGUGCGAACGGCAGACAGACCGGAGGCACCGUCCAGCAGCGUUAGCAAGUAGCGAGCCCCUCCUCGGCCCGUGGUCGGCAUGGGCCCGCACAGGUCAGAGUGUACGACCUCCAGGACAUGCUGAGGCCGGUUACCGCGGCUGACGUGAGCUGUAGCUGUAGUCUUCGCUGUGACACAGGCUUCGCAGACACCCUCUGCCGCCUGACGCAGCGCCGCGGGAGUGACCCGUGGUCCAUGUACCAGAUGCUUGGUGAUAAGCUGCUCCAACGCCCGGUAACCAAGGUGGCCGAACUGGCGGUGCAGGCGCUGUGCUGCUGCGAGUUCGGCGGCUGAGCACUCAAGGGCGCCCAGCUGCCCUUGGCCGUUGCUGGCGCCGUUCGACUGGUCUCCGCCGGUGUCACUGCUGCCGGCGCCGUUCGGCUGGUCCCCGCCGGCGUCACUGCUGCUGGCGCCGGCGGCAAAUCUGCUAGCGCUGGUACCUCCGCCGGCUCUGUCUUCCGCAGCGCCGAGCGCACUGACGNNNNNNNNNNNNNNNNNNNNNNNNNNNNNNNNNNNNNNNNNNNNNNNNNNNNNNNNNNNNNNNNNNNNNNNNNNNNNNNNNNNNNNNNNNNNNNNNNNNNNNNNNNNNNNNNNNNNNNNNNNNNNNNNNNNNNNNNNNNNNNNNNNNNNNNNNNNNNNNNNCUCCAGCAGGCUUAGCCGGGCCUGAGAGGCAGAACGGAACUGCAGCUGUAAGAGCUGCAUGCGGGCGAGGGUCGUCUGACAGUUCCUGAGCAACUGCUUUACUGGCAGUUCGCAGGAUAGACGCAGGUAGCCAAGCGCCUGGGCAUCUUCCUCCAGAGCGUCUUGCGCAUUGCGUCCCGGUGGCGACGGGUUGGUCAUAUAGAUCCGCAGCUUGGAUGUAGCAAGGAAAUCACUGAAGUCUCCUAGCCACUGUGAGUAGUUAGACCCGUCCGCUAAGAGGACGGUCUUACACCCUUUUCCCAUGUCGGUUGCCUAGCGAGCCUCCCUGCUCAAGCUAAAAGCAACUACAGAUAUUAACCGCCGGGAACCGUUACCCGGGGCUCAUAACCUGUUGGUGAGACGCUAUCUCACAGGGACCUAGCAGACACGACUAAGGAGACAUUAGCCGUUACACGUAUUCGGGAGAUCCGCGACCUACCACCGAAAGCCCCUUUGCCUAGGCGUAAACAUGUGAAUCUGAGGUACUGUUACCGAUAAACAACAGAGACUUAUAAAGGCUUGGAAAGCCUAUCCCAAAAGGACGAGAGCUAUCAGUACGCUAGAACCUAAUAGCCGUUUUGACGGGCCUCCCGAGACAGGUCCAAAGCUGUUACUCAGUCUAACAUGCGACCUCAGACCGGCCACAGCUGUCACUCACGACAGCCUGACAAGUUACCCAAGCAGGCCACAGGGCGACACGGCAACCCUUCGCAUCAACAUGGUCGACUGGGUGUUGCAUAGCAUGUGUGGAGCUUUAGUAUGCACCCAGCGAUUCGAUCUCAAUUGGAGGUAUCGAGCAAGAACCAGCGGUCCAUCCAGUUGGGUGCAGCAGAUAGUAGUAGUGCCGCCAGAGAAGGAACCAACGUACGCCUGUAGUGCCUGCGCCUGCACCUCGUGACAGUGGCAGUGCGCAACGUGGUGGAGAACGAGCAAGAGUCCAGGAGGGUCAUGUGCACGGGCUGGGGCUGGGGCUGGGGCUGGGAAGGCUGGGAAGGCAAUACUUGGCAGUGAACCGGCAAGGCGAGUGGGUGCUGCCGU
This 7521-nucleotide long non-coding RNA is filed under the name Volvox carteri. RNAcentral's name for it is "long non-coding RNA (VCAR_LNC002075)". Lineage: Eukaryota; Viridiplantae; Chlorophyta; Chlorophyceae; Chlamydomonadales; Volvocaceae. The record is from RNAcentral.